AAAGAAGCUCCUCCAAAAAUUGAUUGUCUUGAAAAUUUCACCUACUUAGCCUCCUGGGAAACUGAAAGGUUUGAUGCAAGUUUGAUAGAUUGCACGAUUCUGAUCUUUGUGGCUUUUUCUGAUAUAACCAAGAGAUCAAAGAACUCACGUAUUAGUUGCAUACCUCUAGUCAUAUCUGUUAUAAGCUCACCUUCACCAGGUACAGAAUCAAUCCACCAAUUCAAUUUCCGGCCAUACUAUCAAAAUCUGUUGUAUAAAGGGAAAAUAAAAAUGACACACAUAAUUUGACAUCAACUAAACAUGAACUAUUGUAUCUUGGAGGAUAUUUCUCGCUAACAAAAUUGUAUCUCAUCAACUGGUUUCUUCAGUCUUAGGUCCCAACAUUGCAACGAAAUACCAAAAAAACAAAAUCUUGAUAUAAUGUUUCUCGCAAUUGAGAGAAGCCCACUGCUAGGCACAGAUAGGACCUAUUCAAAACUGAGGUUAAAAAUACGGAUUUGAACCUGUGAUUCUCGUUUUUACUGCCAAAAAAAUCCACUGGUAAAUAUAUUUCACCCACAUUGAUCAAAUAGCAAGCAUUACUUUUCUUCUUUUCCGGUUCAAAGAAUGAAAUAUAUAUUUGAACAUGCAAAAGUACAUGAAAUCAGCGUAUCUAAAAGACCACAACAUCAAUUUUUUUAAACAACUUAGGAAAAAAUUAUACGAGUGAAUCAACUUAUACAAUUACAAAUUAAUCAGAUCCAGAAGCUUCAGUCCCAUCAUCAUAUUUAUGAUCUUCCCAACUCAAAAAGGCAAACAGGAUGGUAUAAUGAAGUUUGAAGUGCAAAAUAUGGCUAUUGGAUAUUUUUGAGUCUACAGGUUUCAUUCACGCCAUAUUCAAAUUUAAAGAGAAGAAAGCAUCUACGGUCAGAGUGCCAUCAACAAAAAAACUGGCCACCAGUCUCUCUAAAUCUUACUAAUACCACCCGAUUAGUUUCAAACAUACCAAUAUUCUUACUAAUUUCAUAAUGACAGAACAUAAUAUGGCCGUGUCGAACACUAUUUCAUUUUUUUCUUGGAAGUAGAUAGAUCCCGCAAGUGAAUAUAAUUUCUCAGUGAAUCCGCAACGAACAAAAAUUCGAUACACUUAUAGAUAACCAUCGAUAAAAUUAAAACUGUCAAGCACAAUAGAGAAAAAGUGAGGAAAGAGAAUGACCGGUUUGGUUGAGGCAUAACAGGGCAUACAUAUUGGCGUCUGUCCAAUUUGUGAGAGUUGGAGGGACGACUCCUCGCUAAGUAUUUAAUAGCGCGAUGUUGUAGAGAUGGAAUAUCGUCGAUUAUGGUUGAGAUUGGCGACUAUCUGCUUGCUUAGUAUCCAGUAUUUUGAACCUCCUUCCUCUCGUUAUAAACUUGGAGACAACUAAAUUCGGGCUCUACAAAAUUAUAAAAGUAGACAUGAAAUAACAGCAUCUGUAUCUAAUAAGUUGAUAAGCAAAUAGGACACAGCUAUUAAAAAGAAGUUGAAACUGCUGAAGCUUUAACAAAGUCAAUCCGAGAAUGAGGCAGAUUUUGAUUUCUAAAGAGGAUAAACUAAACGUGGUAACUCUUAUUAAUCAUUGAUUAAAACAACAUUAAGACUUUUGGUAUAUGAACAUGGUUUUACCAUAACCAUUCCACAUAUUUAUUACUUUCUCCGUUACUAAAUAACUGGUGCUUUUAGCUUUGGCACACAUAAGGAACCAAAAAAGGAACACAUAUAAUACAGUUUUUAUGAUUACGGAAAAAAGCUCGAUGGAGUGUCGGAAGGGUGACCAGGGAUACAUUUUAACAACAGACACGACAUUAACCCUUUUCUAUGUGUUAUUCUGUCUUUGCAAGGAUACUACACAAGGAAUUCAUGCAAUUCAAGAAAAUUUCUAAUUUAUUCUCUAACUUUUGUUCUAUAUCUUCAUUACUCUACUGAAGUUUUCUUUUUCUGAACCUUUCUCUUUCAUUGAUUUACUGUCCCCUAAAAACUAAUUGGCGGGAGAGAAACUACAAAAACAUAUGACUACUUUCUUUUCAACAGUUUCAAAUAAAGGAACUUACAAGUUGAAUUCCUGAACGGAUAGUCUCGUCAAUAAUUUGGCUGAGCUUUAUAGUAGAAUUCUGUGAAGGAAUAUUGACAAUCACUGUAAUCUGAACAGAAAUUGCAAUGGUAUAAACUGUAGAUGUCUAAUCGCAUAAAAAAAUGUACCUUUUUUUACUGAGAAGUAACAACGCAUACAUGGUAGCCCUAACAGAGAAGAAGGGAGAUUGUUUGGAUGAAUCUGGUUCAAAGAGAGAAAAGGACACAAUUAUUCAUUGCUGUCUAUUCCGAAUUUUACAGCUCUAUUGUAUAGGUUGUAAAGAGUAGUAUAAAGUAUUUGGAAUUAAGAUGAACUGGGGGUAUUUUAGUAAUUUCAAUUUAAGAUUAGGGAGUUUAGUAUCUAUAUCUAUAAUCUAUAUCUAUAUUUAUAAUAUACUAGUUUAUGGUACUUGCUUUGCACAUGUGUAA
This 2515-nucleotide long non-coding RNA is filed under the name Capsicum annuum. RNAcentral's name for it is "long non-coding RNA (CANN_LNC013404)". Lineage: Eukaryota; Viridiplantae; Streptophyta; Magnoliopsida; Solanales; Solanaceae. The record is from RNAcentral.